UACGGAGGGUGCAAGCGUUAUCCGGAUUCACUGGGUUUAAAGGGUGCGUAGGCGGGCAGGUAAGUCAGUGGUGAAAUCUUGGGGCUUAACCCCGAAACUGCCAUUGAUACUAUUUGUCUUGAAUAUUGUGGAGGUAAGCGGAAUAUGUCAUGUAGCGGUGAAAUGCUUAGAUAUGACAUAGAACACCUAUUGCGAAGGCAGCUUACUACGCAUAUAUUGACGCUGAGGCACGAAAGCGUGGGGAUCAAACAGG
This 253-nucleotide ribosomal RNA is filed under the name uncultured bacterium. RNAcentral's name for it is "partial 16S ribosomal RNA". It matches the Rfam family "Bacterial small subunit ribosomal RNA", at positions 524 to 776 of the family's 1533-position model. The record is from RNAcentral.